GCGCACCAGGCGAGAAUCUUCCACAAUGGACGAAAGUCUGAUGGAGCGACGCCGCGUGCGGGAUGAAGGCCUUAUGGGUUGUAAACCGCUGUCAGGGGGAAGAACAUCGGAAUGAACAAUACUCAUUCCGACUGGCGUUACCCCAGAGGAAGCUCCGGCCAACUCCGUGCCAGCAGCCGCGGUAAUACGGGGGAGCAAGCGUUGUCCGGAAUUAUUGGGCGUAAAGGGCGUGUAGGCGGCGAGGUAAGUCGAAUGUGAAAUCUCACGGCUCAAACCGUGAAACUGCGUUCGAAACUACCCU
RNAcentral lists this ribosomal RNA (301 nucleotides) under uncultured microorganism. RNAcentral's name for it is "bacterial SSU rRNA". It matches the Rfam family "Bacterial small subunit ribosomal RNA", at positions 346 to 639 of the family's 1533-position model. The record is from RNAcentral.